UACGGGGGGGGCAAGCGUUGUUCGGAAUUACUGGGCGUAAAGGGCUCGUAGGCGGCCAACUAAGUCAGACGUGAAAUCCCUCAGCUUAACUGGGGAACUGCGUCUGAUACUGGAUGGCUUGAGUUUGGGAGAGGGAUGCGGAAUUCCAGGUGUAGCGGUGAAAUGCGUAGAUAUGUGGAGGAAUACCGAUGGCGAAGGCAGCCCCCUGGGAUAACACUGACGCUCAUGCACGAAAGCGUGGGGAGCAAACAGG
This 253-nucleotide ribosomal RNA is filed under the name uncultured bacterium. Its description in RNAcentral is "partial 16S ribosomal RNA". It matches the Rfam family "Bacterial small subunit ribosomal RNA", at positions 524 to 776 of the family's 1533-position model. The record is from RNAcentral.